CCCUACACGCACGGCAGGUCGGCAGCAGCAUCAAUGGAUCAGAUGGAAAGCUUUUCUGUGAGGCCACCACCUCAACCAUAAGGACACGGGACACCACGUACUUACCGGGUAUCUCCGCGGAGAAGAUGUGCUCCUUGUCGUUCUCGUGCCAGUCAAUGUUGGUGCGAGCCAUGGCGGUGGCGUCGUCGCGGCUGCCGCCUUCGCCGCCUCGGCGGCCGGCGUCCAAGGGCCAGGAAGCGCCGAAGGGGUCCCAGAGGUCGGAGGAGAAGGGGUCCCAGAGGUCGGAGGAGAAGGGGUCCAUCCCUCCCCGGCCACCGCCGAACCAAGGCAUAAGCGACAUGGCUGACACGCACGGUGGGUGUUUGGUUGGCACUAUGUCCCACGAGACGGAUAUGCUACCAGGCUGUUUGUGGUGGCAAGAGCGCUUUCUCCUGGGCAGUUUUAUAGCACUCCAAAGCGCUUGCAUACAUGGCCGCGUGGAGCAUCGGCUUGACACGUUCGCUGUGUACGUGCCGCCCGCGUGCACAGGUGUUGCCGCAGCGACGACUCUUGUGAUGCUUGCCGCUGGCCACUCCGGCCGCGGCGGCCACCAGAUCCCGGUGCGCGCCGGGCGCGCCCUCUCGCCAAAGAGCCAUGGGGCGCUCGCGCUCGUCCAGAUCCACCGGCGGUCGACGUUGGUGCCAGUCGACGUUGGUGCGAGCCGUCGCGGCUGCCGCCUUGGCGUCCGGCGUCCAAGGGCCAGGAAGCGCCGAAGGGGUCCCAGAGGUCGGAGGAGAAGGGGUCCAUCCCUCCCCGGCCACCGCUGAACCAAGGCAUGAGCGACAUGGCUGGCUGACACGCACGGCGAUGUUUGGUUGAAACGAUGUCCCACGAGACAGAUAUGCUACCGGGCUGUUUGUAGUGG
RNAcentral lists this long non-coding RNA (904 nucleotides) under Triticum aestivum (bread wheat). RNAcentral's name for it is "long non-coding RNA (TAES_LNC014381)". Lineage: Eukaryota; Viridiplantae; Streptophyta; Magnoliopsida; Poales; Poaceae. The record is from RNAcentral.